GAUGAACGCUGGCGGCGUGCCUAACACAUGCAAGUCGAACGGAGAUUUAACGCUGAUGAAGCUUCGGCAGAUUCUUGUUAAAUCUUAGUGGCGGACGGGUGAGUAACGCGUGGGCAACCUGCCUCAUACUGGGGGAUAACAGCUGGAAACGACUGUUAAUACCGCAUAAGCGCACAGCAUCGCAUGAUCCAGUGUGAAAAACUCCGGUGGUAUGAGAUGGGCCCGCGUCAGAUUAGCCAGUUGGCAGGGUAACGGCCUACCAAAGCGACGAUCUGUAGCCGGCCUGAGAGGGCGGACGGCCCCAUUGGGACUGAGACACGGCCCAAACUCCUACGGGAGGCAGCAGUGGGGGAUAUUGCACAAUGGAGGAAACUCUGAUGCAGCGACGCCGCGUGAGUGAAGAAGUAUUUCGGUAUGUAAAGCUCUAUCAGCAGGGAAGAAAGACUCGUAAGAGAGAUGA
Molecule: ribosomal RNA, 460 nt
Filed under: bacterium MA3011
Lineage: Bacteria
Description: bacterial SSU rRNA
Rfam family: Bacterial small subunit ribosomal RNA
Source: RNAcentral